UUAAAUCAAAAUCAUAUUCAACAAUAGAGAAAAUCAAACAAAUCAUGAAAUGCUCAUAUUUUCGUAUCAUGCUUUGUGAAGUCGUUCUGACUUCCAUCUUUGAGGGUAGAUACAGAUUUCGACUACCCAUGUGGAAUGACCAUAUCAGAUAUAUUUUCAGCUUGUCAAACCAUGGUAUGAUAUAUGACCACGAUCGUACCAACCAUAGUGGUCUUAUAAGAUAUUCUAUUGUCAUGGCAGUGCUUAGCCAAAAGUGACUCCUAAUAGAUAUUCACGUCACCGCUCUCAUCAAAGGGUAUGCCAUCAUCCACAGGGAGCGAUCUUCUCACGUCUUUCUAGACCAAAUAGGGGAGGAAGAAACAGAAAUCCCUCAGAGAUAAAAAACCUAACGAGAUACUUAAUGCAUUAUGCAUGUCAAUACUAAUACAUAUAUUUUUCGGACCAUUCAGGCUCAUUCCCCUUCUUUUUUCUCUUU
RNAcentral lists this long non-coding RNA (475 nucleotides) under Carica papaya (papaya). Its description in RNAcentral is "long non-coding RNA (CPAP_LNC009483)". The record is from RNAcentral. Lineage: Eukaryota; Viridiplantae; Streptophyta; Magnoliopsida; Brassicales; Caricaceae.